RNAcentral lists this ribosomal RNA (273 nucleotides) under uncultured Bacillus sp. RNAcentral describes it as "partial 16S ribosomal RNA". It matches the Rfam family "Bacterial small subunit ribosomal RNA", at positions 524 to 796 of the family's 1533-position model. The record is from RNAcentral. Lineage: Bacteria; Bacillati; Bacillota; Bacilli; Caryophanales; Bacillaceae.
UACGUAGGUGGCAAGCGUUGUCCGGAAUUAUUGGGCGUAAAGGGCUCGCAGGCGGUUUCUUAAGUCUGAUGUGAAAGCCCCCGGCUCAACCGGGGAGGGUCAUUGGAAACUGGGGAACUUGAGUGCAGAAGAGGAGAGUGGAAUUCCACGUGUAGCGGUGAAAUGCGUAGAGAUGUGGAGGAACACCAGUGGCGAAGGCGACUCUCUGGUCUGUAACUGACGCUGAGGAGCGAAAGCGUGGGGAGCGAACAGGAUUAGAAACCCUAGUAGUCC